CCACGGCUAACUACGUGCCAGCAGCCGCGGUAAUACGUAGGUGGCAAGCGUUAUCCGGAUUUAUUGGGCGUAAAGCGUCCGCAGCCGGUUUAUUAAGUAUAGAAUUAAAGCCUGAGGCUCAACCUCAGUUCGUUCUAUAAACUGAUAAGCUAGAGUGUGGUAGAGGCAAGUGGAAUUUCUAGUGUAGCGGUAGAAUGCGUAGAUAUUAGAAGGAACACCAGUGGCGAAGGCGACUUGCUGGGCCACCACUGACGGUCAGGGACGAAAGCGUGGGGAGCAAAUAGGAUUAGAUACCCUAGUAGUCCACGCCGUAAACGAUGAGUACUAAGUGUCGGUUUUCCGGUGCUGAAGUUAACACAUUAAGUACUCCGCCUGAGUAGUACGGUCGCAAGGCUGCAACUCAAAUGAAUUGACGG
Molecule: ribosomal RNA, 416 nt
Filed under: uncultured Bacillota bacterium
Lineage: Bacteria; Bacillati; Bacillota
Description: bacterial SSU rRNA
Rfam family: Bacterial small subunit ribosomal RNA
Source: RNAcentral